Molecule: ribosomal RNA, 282 nt
Filed under: uncultured Ascomycota
Lineage: Eukaryota; Fungi; Ascomycota
Description: partial 18S ribosomal RNA
Rfam family: Eukaryotic small subunit ribosomal RNA
Source: RNAcentral
UUGGAGGGCAAGUCUGGUGCCAGCAGCCGCGGUAAUUCCAGCUCCAAUAGCGUAUAUUAAAGUUGUUGCAGUUAAAAAGCUCGUAGUUGAACCUUGGGCCUGGCUGGCCGGUCCGCCUCACCGCGUGUACUGGUCCGGCCGGGCCUUUCCUUCUGGGGAACCUCAUGCCCUUCACUGGGCGUGUUGGGGAACCAGGACUUUUACUUUGAAAAAAUUAGAGUGUUCAAGGCAGGCCUUUGCUCGAAUACAUUAGCAUGGAAUAAUAGAAUAGGACGUGUGGUU